UACGUAGGGUGCAAGCGUUAAUCGGAAUUACUGGGCGUAAAGCGUGCGCAGGCGGUUGUGCAAGACCGAUGUGAAAUCCCCGGGCUUAACCUGGGAAUGGCAUUGGUGACUGCACGGCUAGAGUGUGUCAGAGGGGGGUAGAAUUCCACGUGUAGCAGUGAAAUGCGUAGAGAUGUGGAGGAAUACCGAUGGCGAAGGCAGCCCCCUGGGAUAACACUGACGAUCAUGCACGAAAGCGUGGGGAGCAAACAGG
Molecule: ribosomal RNA, 253 nt
Filed under: uncultured bacterium
Lineage: Bacteria
Description: partial 16S ribosomal RNA
Rfam family: Bacterial small subunit ribosomal RNA
Source: RNAcentral